AAUGAAAUCGCUCGUAUCAUCACAUUUUCUCUUUACUCUCCCGCCCCGCGCAACAGGAAACAAAAAAUUACAACCGUCUCUUUCCUCUUUGCCUCUCUCGUGUUUUGUAUCUUUCUCCCUUCUUUCCUUCUACUGCGUCUUUGUUCCUUUUUCUCUCUACCUCCUGCCCCUCCUCCUGUCGCCGUUUCUCUUUCGGACUUUCCUCUUUUUUUUUCCUCGCUUUUCUCCCCCUCUCCCCUGUCUCGUUUGCCGCGGUGCUGGCUUUCCGCUCCAUCCGCAUAGAUCCCCUUCCUGAAUGCAUCGAUACCGUUGUGCGGAAACAGACACUCCAUCAAACGUACCCCAGUCAGCUAAUUACGACCGGUACCACCUGAUUCGAGCUUGCACGCAUUUCUUCUCCCCAUCUUUCACGGGUACAGCUCGAUAUCUCUCUCUUUCGCGCAUUUUCUUUCCCUUUCGCGCUUCUUUCUUAUUGGAUCCUUACUAGCUUGUCCCUUCCUUCCCAGCGCGGCAGCGAGCGCGUUUCUCUCUCUCUCCUUCCGCGUUUUUUGACAUUAGCUUUGGCGAAGCGACGUGUGAACUGCAUCUGCUCGAAUUUGGUGCUUCCUCCCUCCUUUCAGCCUCCCUAUUGACAAGAGCACACGCCAAAACGUAUAUGGGAGUGAAUUUCAUAGUAUCGUUUCCAGCGCUAGCUUUCUAUCUCGCUCUUCGGGGCUCGGCGUCUUCUCACUGACUUUUUAUUUACCUUCUUUCUAUUGGUUUCGUUCGUUUCCUGCCACCUCCCUCUUGAGUGUGCUGUAUUGUGCACAGCACCCCUCAGUCGCCGCGCCGAAGCCACGUGCAGCUGAGGUACAUCGUUCAUUGUCGGCAUCGCCCCUCCCCUCAUUUUUCACAUUCCUCUUUCCAUUCAGGCGCUGCGGUGGAACAGCGCAUUACCCGUCUCCCCUCUCCUCUCUCACAGCCAUGCGUCGCUCUCUGCUGCUUGCCUGCUCCGCCGCCAAGGGUGGGAGCUGGGCAUCCAUGCCCGAUGCAGAGAUCAUGAAGCAGGUGGAGAAUAAGAAGAUUGCAUUUUACGGCCUUGAGCAGGCUCUUGCACCCGACUAUGACCGCGCCAUCGCCAUUCGUCGUGAGAUUGUGAAGAAAAAGAUGUGUCCAUCAACCGCUGCCACACAUCCGCUGGAGAGGGUUCCCUACAAGAACUACGACUGGAGCAGUGUUGUCGGCCAGAGCUGCGAGAACAUCCUCGGCUACGUUCCGGUACCGGUAGGGUUGGCUGGCCCGCUGCUGUUGGAUGGAAAGGAAGUGGCACUGCCGAUGGCGACGACGGAGGGCGCGCUGGUCGCGAGUGCGCACCGCGGUGCUCGCGCCAUCAACCUGAGCGGCGGAUGCCGGACAGCGGUGCUGAAGGAAGGCAUGACGCGCGCCCCUGUAGUGGAGGUGAACUCUUUCGACGAGGCCAUCACCGUGAUCAAGUUCUGUGAGGAGCGGUUCGACGUUCUGAAGGAGGCCUUCGAGUCGACGACCCGCUUCGGGAAGUUGCUGAGCAUCAAGUGCGCCAUGGCGGGUCGCCAGGUGCAUAUGCGCUUCUCUGCCUUUACUGGAGAUGCCAUGGGCAUGAACAUGAUCACGAAGGGCUGUGACAAGGCGCUGCAGGUGCUGCAGCAGCACAUUCCCUCUGUGCGAGUGCUGACCUUGUCGGGCAACUUCUGCACUGACAAGAAGCCGUCCGCACUGAACUGGGUGGAGGGACGCGGGAAGUCGGUCGUGGCGGAGGCCGUCAUCAAGCGUGAUGUGGUCGAGGGUGUUCUCAAAUGCACGGUGGACAGUGUUGUGUCGCUGAAUGUGACUAAGAACCUGCGCGGUUCUGCGCUUGCCGGUUCCAUCGGCGGCUUCAACGCACACGCUGCCAACAUCGUGGCCGCGCUCUACAUCGCCACUGGCCAGGACCCCGCACAGAUAGUGGAGUCCGCAACCUGCAUGACGACGGUUGACAAGGCUGGUGAGGAUCUCGUGAUCAGCCUCACGAUGCCGAGCAUCGAGGUCGGCGCCGUAGGCGGUGGCACAGGUCUGUCGUCGCAGCGGGCCAUGCUGGAGCUGAUGGGGUGCGCGGGCUCUAACAAGGAGGACCCAGGUGCCAACUCCCGCCAGAUCGCGCGCGUCGUCGCUGGCGCAGUCAUUUGCGGGGAGCUGUCCCUCUUGUCCGGCCUUGCAGCUGGCCACUUGCUGAGCGCCCACAUGAAGCUGAACCGCAAGCCUCCGACUCAGUAAACUUAAGCACGGAAAUUGCGAUGUUGCUUUGGCUGAGCCGGCGUGCUCCUACUGGUGCUUCCGUAUGCUUUAUUCAAAGGACAGGGCUGCCGCAAGAUUCACUUGGCAUGACCCUGCGGUUGCGCUCUUGCGUGGUUGUGCGCCAAUAUUUCUCAGAACGCGCAACGUGUGUUCUUUAUUUUGUUUUUUUUUUUUCGCCCAGCUGUUCGCUCCUUGAUGACGGGAGGCACGUCGCAACGCGUGGCAUCCUCAUGGCCCCGGGCCGCCCCCCUUAUCCCCCUAUCCCCCUGCCAGUGCCGAGCCGCCUCGGGUGGUGACAGGGGCACCUACGGCGUGGGAAAGUCAGAGCGAUGCAUGGCUGCUGAUGCCGGUGCUCAGGUCGUAGAUGGCGUUGCGUCGGAGCGACCUGCGGCAGCGAGCGCGUUUGCACCACCCACAUGAUGGGCAGGGUGUCAGCGUGACCCAAGCGUGUCUCGCCCGGCCCUCGCUGCUUACUGGGGGAGAGCUUGGAGCGCCACCCCGAGGGAGAUGCACCGGCGGGGCGGCCGGCAUGAUGGGAGCGGCUGUGAGGUAACCUGCGAGGCAGAGGUGGGUAGAGUACGAGGCAGGGCCCGUGCGCAGGUGGCCGAGCCGGUGCGCUGCCUUAAUGCACGUGCCGGCCGCUGCGUUGCACCGGGCGACGGGGCCUGUGACGUGCCCGGGGGUGUCUGGAGAGGAGCUGAGCUCGUGCUCUGUGGCAGAAUGGUCGCCUUCCUAGAAUAAGAGCGUAUCUGCUGCACAGUUGUGUUCACGUCGCGCGUGCGAUGGGAUGGGAAUCUCCGUUGCUCCUGUUCUUUCGUUUGCGCUUUGGUGGACCGUCUUCCGUCCGCUCUCCCUCUCUCGGUUUACUUCUUUAGCUUGUCUAAGCGAUUCUGUGUGAAGGCAUGCUGGGGUGCUCGUGUGCGGCUUCGUUGUUUUUGUGCGGCGAGUGCUCCAUGAUAGCGACUUCCGUUGCUCUUAUUGUUAAGGCUCAUCAAGAGCCACACAGAGCAACUCAAGAGGGCGAAGAAGCGGAGCAAUGAAAGAGCUGAUCGUAGGCAGCGUAUGGAACAGUGUAAACAACAGCACGAGUAACAGCUUUGACAUGUCGGCAAGUGCGUAUCACCUGACUCGCAUCCACCACAACACAUCCACCACGUCAGGAUACUGCUUCCCUCCGUUUUUCCUGCCGUGCUGUUGAAGAAACGACAGAUUUUCUGAGUUUUCUCCGACUCUCUGUAGGUGCGCAGAUUUUGCUUGUCGUAUUGCCAAAGGCGAAAGCCACAAGGGACCGGCGAGGCUGGCUGGGUGGCAGGUGUGCGCCUAGUGCUUCCAUUCGAGAGCAGACCUGUGCACAAGGCAAUCUCUCUCUGAUGCACACCGAGCGCAUUCCGUCCCACUGGGCAUACUUGCAACGUGGGCUCACUCUCUCGUAAGCCCUAUUUAUCUCUCACUGUUUCUUCCCCGCGAAGAAGACCAGGUGCAUAACGGGGCGCUGCUCAAGCAGCCCUGACCAUACUCGACAAGCCUACACAUCGAAGUACAGCGUGAUCAUCGGCCACAUACAAGCGUUUGUGUCUGUGAGAGCACGGAUCUUCACUGGACGACAGCGUAUUUGACUGGAGAUUUUGCUAUCGAAAAGGACGGUGCCUUCUCUCUCGUCAGAGAUGGCACUGUGACGCAUACUACUGCUUUUGUGCUGUUGCCCUGCCGUUUGUGCGCGUGUUACGGCGCGCGACGCAAUGUCUUUCUCUUUCCCUGCUCCAUCCUAUCUCUUCACUCUGUUCGUCUCUCGCCGCGGGUUUGUGCUGUCGUCCACCACCCCUCCCACCUCCCCGUCGCUUCCCCUCCUUUACCUUCGCAUGUUUCAACAUUCGGAUCCACACUGAAACAACAG
Molecule: unclassified non-coding RNA, 4183 nt
Filed under: Leishmania donovani
Lineage: Eukaryota; Euglenozoa; Kinetoplastea; Trypanosomatida; Trypanosomatidae
Description: gene:LdHU3.30.4320(CDS-product:3-hydroxy-3-methyl glutaryl-CoA_reductase)
Source: RNAcentral